This is a long non-coding RNA of Oncorhynchus keta (chum salmon), 623 nucleotides long. RefSeq lists it as uncharacterized. The record is from RefSeq and is a predicted model, not a curated record. The transcript has 3 exons. NCBI's taxonomy places the organism in Eukaryota, Metazoa, Chordata, Actinopteri, Salmoniformes, Salmonidae.
GUACAGAGUCAAUGUGUCAAUGUGGAGGCUAUAUACAGGGGGUACCGGUACAGAGUCAAUGUGUCAAUGUGGAGGCUAUAUACAGGGGGUACCGGUACAGAGUCAAUGUGGAGGCUAUAUACAGGGGGUACCGGUACAGAGUCAAUGUGUCAAUGUGGAGGCUAUAUACAGGGGGUACCGGUACAGAGUCAAUGUGGAGGCUAUAUACAGGGGGUACCGGUACAGAGUCAAUGUGUCAAUGUGGAGGCUAUAUACAGGGGGUACCGGUACAGAGUCAAUGUGGAGGCUAUAUACAGGGGGUACCGGUACAGAGUCAAUGUGGAGGCUAUAUACAGGGGGUACAGAGUCAAUGUGGAGGUUAUAUACAGGGGGUACCGGUACAGAGUCAAUGUGGAGGCUAUAUACAGGGAGUACUGGUACAGAGUCAAUGUGGAGGUUAUAUACAGGGGGUACCGGUACAGAGUCAAUGUGGAGGCUAUAUACAGGGGGUACCGGUACAGAGUCAAUGUGGAGGCUAUAUACAGGGAGUACCGGCACAGAGUCAAUGUGGAGGCUAUAUACAGAGAGUACCGGUACAGAGUCAAUGUGUCAAUGUGGAGGCUAUAUACAGGGGGUACUGGUAC